GUUAAUGGAUUUCAGUCAUAUUCAAUACUUUUGGUCUGUGAAUUCCAUAUAUGCUAGUCACAUGACUCUUGUUGUAUCUUUUUGUUUAUUUUAAUGACAGAUGAAGAUGUUGAAUUGCAGCCCCCUGACAUUCCGACUGUAAAUGAACACAAAUUUCUGUUUGCCUUUACGGUUCUUGUUUCAGUUGGUGUUGUGAUUGCACUUUUGGUGCUGAUUGCAAUCGCUGACAGGGAAUCUCACAAACAUGAUCACGACAGCUAAA
Pocillopora damicornis (cauliflower coral) is the source of this 262-nucleotide long non-coding RNA. Lineage: Eukaryota; Metazoa; Cnidaria; Anthozoa; Scleractinia; Pocilloporidae. The record is from RefSeq and is a predicted model, not a curated record.